UGCAAGUCGAGCGGAACGAGUUAUCUGAACCUUCGGGGAACGAUAACGGCGUCGAGCGGCGGACGGGUGAGUAAUGCCUAGGAAAUUGCCCUGAUGUGGGGGAUAACCAUUGGAAACGAUGGCUAAUACCGCAUGAUGCCUACGGGCCAAAGAGGGGGACCUUCGGGCCUCUCGCGUCAGGAUAUGCCUAGGUGGGAUUAGCUAGUUGGUGAGGUAAGGGCUCACCAAGGCAACGAUCCCUAGCUGGUCUGAGAGGAUGAUCAGCCACACUGGAACUGAGACACGGUCCAGACUCCUACGGGAGGCAGCAGUGGGGAAUAUUGCACAAUGGGCGCAAGCCUGAUGCAGCCAUGCCGCGUGUAUGAAGAAGGCCUUCGGGUUGUAAAGUACUUUCAGUCGUGAGGAAGGCGGCGUCGUUAAUAGCGGCGUUGUUUGACGUUAGCGACAGAAGAAGCACCGGCUAACUCCGUGCCAGCAGCCGCGGUAAUACGGAGGGUGCGAGCGUUAAUCGGAAUUACUGGGCGUAAAGCGCAUGCAGGUGGUUUGUUAAGUCAGAUGUGAAAGCCCGGGGCUCAACCUCGGAAUAGCAUUUGAAACUGGCAGACUAGAGUACUGUAGAGGGGGGUAGAAUUUCAGGUGUAGCGGUGAAAUGCGUAGAGAUCUGAAGGAAUACCGGUGGCGAAGGCGGCCCCCUGGACAGAUACUGACACUCAGAUGCGAAAGCGUGGGGAG
RNAcentral lists this ribosomal RNA (732 nucleotides) under Vibrio sp. RNAcentral describes it as "bacterial SSU rRNA". It matches the Rfam family "Bacterial small subunit ribosomal RNA", at positions 56 to 768 of the family's 1533-position model. Lineage: Bacteria; Pseudomonadati; Pseudomonadota; Gammaproteobacteria; Vibrionales; Vibrionaceae. The record is from RNAcentral.